Molecule: signal recognition particle RNA, 265 nt
Filed under: Pongo abelii (Sumatran orangutan)
Lineage: Eukaryota; Metazoa; Chordata; Mammalia; Primates; Hominidae
Description: Metazoan signal recognition particle RNA (ENSPPYG00000030824.1)
Rfam family: Metazoan signal recognition particle RNA
About the family: The signal recognition particle (SRP) is a universally conserved ribonucleoprotein.
Source: RNAcentral
GCUGGGCGUGGUGGCGGGUGCCUGUAGUCCCAGCUGCUCGGGAGGCUGACGCAGGAGAAUGGUGUGAACUCGGGAGGCGGAGCUUGCAGUGAGCCAAGAUUGCGCCACUGCACUCCAGCCUGGGCGACAGAGCGAGACACUGUCUUAAAAAAAAAAAAAAAUAAGAUGUAGGCUUGCUCUGUCACCCAGGCUGGAGUGGUGCAGUGGCGCGAUCUGGGUCACUGCAAGCUCUGCCUCCCAGGUUCCCGCCAUUCUCCUGCGUCAG